Molecule: ribosomal RNA, 223 nt
Filed under: uncultured Gram-positive bacterium
Lineage: Bacteria
Description: partial 16S ribosomal RNA
Rfam family: Bacterial small subunit ribosomal RNA
Source: RNAcentral
CUAACGCAUGCAAGUCGAGCGGGGUGAGCUUGUCACUUCGGUGACGGGCGAGCCCAGCGGCGAACGGGUGAGUAACACGUGGGUAAUCUGCCCAGAAGUUCGGGAUAGCCCUGGGAAACUGGGGGUAAUACCGGAUAAGGUCACCGGGUUGCAUGAACUGGUGAGCAAAGGGGCAACUCGCUUUUGGAUGAGCCCGCGGCCCAUUAGCUAGUUGGUAGGGUAA